CCUACGGGGGGCAGCAGUAGGGAAUAUUGCACAAUGGGGGAAACCCUGAUGCAGCAACGCCGCGUGGAGGAAGAAGGGUUUAGGAAUGUAAAAUCCUUUUGUUAGAGAAGAUUAUGACGGUAUCUAACGAAUAAGCACCGGCUAACUCCGUGCCAGCAGCCGCGGUAAUACGGAGGGUGCAAGCGUUACUCGGAAUCACUGGGCGUAAAGGGUGCGUAGGCGGGGUAAUAAGUCAGAUGUGAAAUGCUGGGGCUUAACUACAGAACUGCAUUUGAAACUGUUACUCUGGAGUGUGGGAGAGGUAAGUGGAAUUCUUGGUGUAGGGGUAAAAUGCGUAGAGAUCAAGAGGAAUACUCGUGGCGAAGGCGACCUGCUGGAACAUAACUGACGCUGAUGCACGAAAGCGUGGGGAGCAAACAGGAUUAGAUACCCCGGUAGUC
This 440-nucleotide ribosomal RNA is filed under the name uncultured bacterium. RNAcentral describes it as "partial 16S ribosomal RNA". It matches the Rfam family "Bacterial small subunit ribosomal RNA", at positions 338 to 795 of the family's 1533-position model. The record is from RNAcentral.